CGAGGGUUAAAUGUUUUGGUAU
Molecule: microRNA, 22 nt
Filed under: Danio rerio (zebrafish)
Lineage: Eukaryota; Metazoa; Chordata; Actinopteri; Cypriniformes; Danionidae
Description: Dre-Mir-732_5p* (star (passenger))
Source: RNAcentral